CCUGAUGCAGCCAUGCCGCGUGUGUGAAGAAGGCCUUCGGGUUGUAAAGCACUUUCAGUUGUGAGGAAAAGUUAGUAGUUAAUACCUGCUAGCCGUGACGUUAACAACAGAAGAAGCACCGGCUAACUCCGUGCCAGCAGCCGCGGUAAUACGGAGGGUGCGAGCGUUAAUCGGAAUUACUGGGCGUAAAGCGCACGCAGGCGGUUUGUUAAGCUAGAUGUGAAAGCCCCGGGCUCAACCUGGGAUGGUCAUUUAGAACUGGCAGACUAGAGUCUUGGAGAGGGGAGUGGAAUUCCAGGUGUAGCGGUGAAAUGCGUAGAUAUCUGGAGGAACAUCAGUGGCGAAGGCGACUCCCUGGCCAAAGACUGACGCUCAUGUGCGAAAGUGUGGGUAGCGAACAGGAUUAGAUACCCUGGUAGUCCACACCGUAAACGCUGUCUACUAGCUGUUUGUGACUUUAAGUCGUGAGUAGCGAAGCUAACGCGCUAAGUAGACCGCCUGGGGAGUACGGCCG
RNAcentral lists this ribosomal RNA (514 nucleotides) under Alteromonas macleodii. Its description in RNAcentral is "bacterial SSU rRNA". It matches the Rfam family "Bacterial small subunit ribosomal RNA", at positions 382 to 888 of the family's 1533-position model. Lineage: Bacteria; Pseudomonadati; Pseudomonadota; Gammaproteobacteria; Alteromonadales; Alteromonadaceae. The record is from RNAcentral.